CCUACGGGUGGCAGCAGUGAGGAAUAUUGGUCAAUGGACGAGAGUCUGAACCAGCCAAGUAGCGUGAAGGAUGACUGCCCUAUGGGUUGUAAACUUCUUUUAUAUGGGAAUAAAAUGUUCCACGUGUGGGAUUUUGUAUGUACCAUAUGAAUAAGGAUCGGCUAACUCCGUGCCAGCAGCCGCGGUAAUACGGAGGAUCCGAGCGUUAUCCGGAUUUAUUGGGUUUAAAGGGAGCGUAGGUGGAUUGUUAUGUCAGUUGUGAAAGUUUGCGGCUCAACCGUAAAAUUGCAGUUGAAACUGGCAGUCUUGAGUACAGUAGAGGUGGGCGGAAUUCGUGGUGUAGCGGUGAAAUGCUUAGAUAUCACGAAGAACUCCGAUUGCGAAGGCAGUUCACUGGACUGCAACUGACACUGAGGCUCGAAAGUGUGGGUAUCAAACAGGAUUAGAUACCCUUGUAGUC
RNAcentral lists this ribosomal RNA (460 nucleotides) under uncultured bacterium. RNAcentral's name for it is "partial 16S ribosomal RNA". It matches the Rfam family "Bacterial small subunit ribosomal RNA", at positions 338 to 795 of the family's 1533-position model. The record is from RNAcentral.